GCCGGGCGAGGUGGCGGGUGCCUGUAGUCCCAGCUACUCCGGAGGCUGAGGCAGGAGAAUGGCGUGAACCCGGGAGGCGGAGCUUGCAGUGAGCUGAGAUCCGGCCACUGCACUCCAGCCUGGGCAAAGAAUUUGUAUACUUUAAUGUUUGUUUCCCGUAUAAGUCUGAAGAUCUAGUGAGGUAGAGGCCAUCUCUAUAUAUUAUUUCUCUCUCUUUUUUUUUUUUUAGAUGGAGUCUCGCCCUGUCGCCCAGGCUGGAGUGUGGUGGCGUGAUACAGCUCACUGCAAGCUCCGCCUCCUGGGUUCACACCAUUCUCCUGCCUCAG
This 326-nucleotide small RNA is filed under the name Macaca fascicularis (crab-eating macaque). Its description in RNAcentral is "Metazoan signal recognition particle RNA (ENSMFAG00000062022.1)". Lineage: Eukaryota; Metazoa; Chordata; Mammalia; Primates; Cercopithecidae. The record is from Rfam by way of RNAcentral.